This 497-nucleotide ribosomal RNA is filed under the name uncultured bacterium. RNAcentral describes it as "partial 16S ribosomal RNA". It matches the Rfam family "Bacterial small subunit ribosomal RNA", at positions 28 to 507 of the family's 1533-position model. The record is from RNAcentral.
GAUGAACGCUGGCGGCGUGCCUAAUACAUGCAAGUCGAGCGAACAGACGAGGAGCUUGCUCCUCUGACGUUAGCGGCGGACGGGUGAGUAACACGUGGAUAACCUACCUAUAAGACUGGGAUAACUUCGGGAAACCGGAGCUAAUACCGGAUAAUAUAUUGAACCGCAUGGUUCAAUAGUGAAAGACGGUUUUGCUGUUACUUAUAGAUGGAUCCGCGCCGCAUUAGCUAGUUGGUAAGGUAACGGCUUACCAAGGCAACGAUGCGUAGCCGACCUGAGAGAGUGAUCGGCCACACUGGAACUGAGGCACGGUCCAGACUCCUACAGAAGGCAGCAGUAGAGAAUCUUACGCAAUGGGCGAAAGCCUGACAGAGCAACGCCGCGUAAGUGAUGAAGGUCUUCGGAUCGUAAAACUCUGUUAUUAGGGAAGAACAAAUGUGUAAGUAACUAUGCACGUCUUGACGGUACCUAAUCAGAAAGCCACGGCUAACUACGUG